CCCGCGGUUUGAAGCAGAGUCUCUCCUGAGGCUAAAGUUGAAUUAACUUUAAUUUUAUGAAAAGAAAACGACGACGGAAACCGAGACGAAAACGCGACGAAAACGCGACGGAACGAUUUAACAGUUGUUGAAACAGCUUGAUCGGCCACGUCGGGUUGAAGGAGGGGCAGCGCCGUGUGUCAGGGGAUCAAACCUGCAGCUGCAGGGAUGGACCGUCCACAAACCACCACCUCCCCCACAGGGACUGCCCUCACCUGGAUGGACUGAGCUCAGCUGGAUAGACUGACCUCACCUGGACCACCGUGAGUCGACCAGCACAAGACGCAGGGCAGAGGGGGAGCACCGGAGCGCCGGAUCACCGGAGCGCCGGAGCGGAUCAGGCCACGUGCCAACACCUCGGAAUCUGACCUCCUUUUGUUCCCUGACUCCUGAGCUCUGUCUCUCCUGCUCACAUCUGAAGAACCAUGUGAUGGUAAUUAGGCCAAAGCCCAUUAAAAAGUCAAAUAAGAGAGAAUACAUUAUCAUUGAGGAGCCAGUACCUGAUGAUUUUCAGCCAAGUGUGACAGAGAAGGACGAAGACACAAAGUGCUGCUGCUGCACCAAGACAGAAAAGUUCCAUUGUUUACUGUAGUGAGAAUAAACCACA
Long non-coding RNA from Solea senegalensis (Senegalese sole), 646 nucleotides. RefSeq lists it as uncharacterized. NCBI's taxonomy places the organism in Eukaryota, Metazoa, Chordata, Actinopteri, Pleuronectiformes, Soleidae. The transcript has 3 exons. The record is from RefSeq and is a predicted model, not a curated record.